Molecule: ribosomal RNA, 565 nt
Filed under: Salmonella enterica subsp. enterica serovar Infantis
Lineage: Bacteria; Pseudomonadati; Pseudomonadota; Gammaproteobacteria; Enterobacterales; Enterobacteriaceae
Also listed under: 1 other name
Description: partial 16S ribosomal RNA
Rfam family: Bacterial small subunit ribosomal RNA
Source: RNAcentral
UUCGAUGCAACGCGAAGAACCUUACCUGGUCUUGACAUCCACAGAAGAAUCCAGAGAUGGAUUUGUGCCUUCGGGAACUGUGAGACAGGUGCUGCAUGGCUGUCGUCAGCUCGUGUUGUGAAAUGUUGGGUUAAGUCCCGCAACGAGCGCAACCCUUAUCCUUUGUUGCCAGCGGUCCGGCCGGGAACUCAAAGGAGACUGCCAGUGAUAAACUGGAGGAAGGUGGGGAUGACGUCAAGUCAUCAUGGCCCUUACGACCAGGGCUACACACGUGCUACAAUGGCGCAUACAAAGAGAAGCGACCUCGCGAGAGCAAGCGGACCUCAUAAAGUGCGUCGUAGUCCGGAUUGGAGUCUGCAACUCGACUCCAUGAAGUCGGAAUCGCUAGUAAUCGUGGAUCAGAAUGCCACGGUGAAUACGUUCCCGGGCCUUGUACACACCGCCCGUCACACCAUGGGAGUGGGUUGCAAAAGAAGUAGGUAGCUUAACCUUCGGGAGGGCGCUUACCACUUUGUGAUUCAUGACUGGGGUGAAGUCGUAACAAGGUAACCGUAGGGGAACCUGC